Molecule: small RNA, 490 nt
Filed under: Pongo abelii (Sumatran orangutan)
Lineage: Eukaryota; Metazoa; Chordata; Mammalia; Primates; Hominidae
Description: processed transcript
Source: RNAcentral
GAGACAGCAAGGGCAGGGCAGCUACAGCCAGUCCUGCUCCUUGCUCCCUGAGGGGGUGAAGUGGGGCGUAGGCCAUGCCAGUGGUGCUGUGGAUUUAGAGCAGGGCCUACCUGGGAAGGGCUCUCGGUAUCUGGGGAUGUGGCAGGAGUUUGCAAAGGCCUGGGGCAAAGCUGUGUUCCAGCGUGUGAGCUCGGUGUGUCGGUGUCCAUGUAGAGUGCACGGCGUGUGGGAGGAGUGGGGGUCCUGGAGCCUGUGCUCCCGCAGCUGCGGGCGGGGGUCCCGGAGCCGGAUGCGGACCUGCGUGCCCCCCCAGCAUGGCGGCAAGGCCUGCGAGGGUCCUGAGCUGCAGACUAAGCUCUGCAGUAUGGCUGCCUGCCCGGUGGAAGGCCAGUGGCUAGAAUGGGGUCCCUGGGGCCCAUGCUCCACGUCCUGUGCCAAUGGGACCCAGCAGCGCAGCCGGAAGUGCAGCGUGGCGGGCCCAGCCUGGGCC